GGAUGAACGCUGGCGGCGUGCCUAAUACAUGCAAGUCGAGCGAACAGACGAGGAGCUUGCUCCUCUGACGUUAGCGGCGGACGGGUGAGUGACACGUGGAUAACCUACCUAUAAGACUGGGAUAACUUCGGGAAACCGGAGCUAAUACCGGAUAAUAUAUUGAACCGCAUGGUUCAAUAGUGAAAGACGGUUUUGCUGUCACUUAUAGAUGGAUCCGCGCCGCAUUAGCUAGUUGGUAAGGUAACGGCUUACCAAGGCAACGAUGCGUAGCCGACCUGAGAGGGUGAUCGGCCACACUGGAACUGAGACACGGUCCAGACUCCUACGGGAGGCAGCAGUAGGGAAUCUUCCGCAAUGGGCGAAAGCCUGACGGAGCAACGCCGCGUGAGUGAUGAAGGUCUUCGGAUCGUAAAACUCUGUUAUUAGGGAAGAACAAAUGUGUAAGUAACUAUGCACGUCUUGACGGUACCUAAUCAGAAAGCCACGGCUAACUACGUG
Molecule: ribosomal RNA, 498 nt
Filed under: uncultured bacterium
Lineage: Bacteria
Description: partial 16S ribosomal RNA
Rfam family: Bacterial small subunit ribosomal RNA
Source: RNAcentral